AUUUUGCAAAAAGCUCGGCCCGACUGCAGCUGGUUCUUCCUGGUUUCCCUGGCCUCUAUUGUGGUUGGAGCAUCCCUGCCUGUGUUUGCAGUAUUCUACAGCGAAAUAUUCAAUACAUUCACCCUGGUUGGGCAAGAUAUGCAAGACACUGCUUUCUUCUGGUCCAUGAUGUUCCUGGUCCUGGCAGCUGCUCGUGGUCUGGGGCACUUCUUCAGAACGCUGGGUGUAGGCAUUGCUGGUGAAAACCUGACAUUCCGCCUGCGGGUGCUGUGUUGGCCAACAUACUGCGGCAACACAUGGGCUGGUUUGAUGAAGACUCCCAUUCCUCUGCCAAACUGGCCUCUCGGCUAGCGAGUGACAUUCCUGUUAAAACUGUGAGCGGAACGGAAUGUCUUGCUUAUUAUGAAAAGGAA
Dermacentor silvarum is the source of this 413-nucleotide long non-coding RNA. RefSeq lists it as uncharacterized. The transcript has 3 exons. Lineage: Eukaryota; Metazoa; Arthropoda; Arachnida; Ixodida; Ixodidae. The record is from RefSeq and is a predicted model, not a curated record.